Molecule: ribosomal RNA, 343 nt
Filed under: bacterium enrichment culture clone ALO1_GLFRUDD03HB87Q
Lineage: Bacteria
Description: bacterial SSU rRNA
Rfam family: Bacterial small subunit ribosomal RNA
Source: RNAcentral
GAGUUUGAUCUUGGCUCAGAUUGAACGCUGGCGGCAGGCCUAACACAUGCAAGUCGAGCGGAUGACGGGAGCUUGCUCCUUGAUUCAGCGGCGGACGGGUGAGUAAUGCCUAGGAAUCUGCCUGGUAGUGGGGGACAACGUUUCGAAAGGAACGCUAAUACCGCAUACGUCCUACGGGAGAAAGCAGGGGACCUUCGGGCCUUGCGCUAUCAGAUGAGCCUAGGUCGGAUUAGCUAGUUGGUGGGGUAAUGGACUCACCAAGGCGACGAUCCGUAACUGGUCUGAGAGGAUGAUCAGUCACACUGGAACUGAGACACGGUCCAGACUCCUAGGGAGCAGCAGU